This 29-nucleotide non-coding RNA is filed under the name Mus musculus (house mouse). Lineage: Eukaryota; Metazoa; Chordata; Mammalia; Rodentia; Muridae. The record is from RNAcentral.
UAAGCCCUGUCUUUGAGUCUUAGAUGAGU